UAACCAAACCAAAUUCGUAAAUUAAUAUUUCUAGUACUGUAUCUAUUUUUCUUCUUAAGAUUAUGAAUUGCUCUUUUUUAUCCUAAAAUAUAUAACAAUCCAGUACGAGAUGAGAUACAUCAUAAUAAUAUGAAUUCAAACAGAUUUUCUGUUUAGAUUCGUGAUGUUAGGAUAUGUCUCAUCUCAGUACUAAGUUGCUAUAUUUUACUCUCUCUAUUUUAAAACAAAGUAAAAUAGUACGAGAUGCGAUACAUUAUAAUACUAUAAAUUGAAACAGACAUUAUGUUCAGAUUUGAAGUAUUAUGAUAUAUCACAUCUACUACUAGAAUUCUAUAUUUUAAGAGAUAAAUUUUACCAUUUUUGAGAGGUAUGAAAAUGUACCAAAAUUUAUUGCAAAUUUCCGUAACUCCUAGGUAUAUAUACCAAAUUUUACACUGAAAAAUAUAGUACAUCUCAAUAUCUCAUUAAGAACAGUAAAAUAACUCAUUUUGAGAGAGAGGCAGUACAAGAUUCAGACAAUGACCACGGAGAAAGUCCGGUAGAAUUCCUCCAAUCUGCUGCAGCUCGAAUGUUCUUUACUCGAUAUGACAGCAGAAAUCUGAGUGGAACAGCAGCAGCAGCAUAUGUUCUUUGCUGGAUUUUUCAUAUCAUACCGGACCUAAAAGAGAGGUGCAGAAUCGAAAGACUGAAGCUUUCAGUUCAGGCCGGCAAAGAAACAAGUGGAGCAUGAUAAGAGCUCGGAAUUGGAUUCCAUUGCCCUGAAAGAUAAUUAAAAAAAGGAGACUAAAUUUAUCUAUCACGACGAGAAGAGAAGAAGAGGAGAAUGUGAUUCCCAAUCAGACACAAAAAAAACUCCAGCUUUAUUCCUUCCUUUCCGACUGCACUCACCCACUUUGAAUCUCUGACCAAAUGAUGAUGAUGAAUUGAUGUGGUUUCCCUUUCAAAAUUAACUUGCAAACAAAUUGUGACGACGACAGACGCCAUUGAUGUGCUUCCGUUCGCUGAGGGAGCUAGGAUGUGAUUCUCAAUUAGAUACAACC
Molecule: small RNA, 1040 nt
Filed under: Oryza sativa Japonica Group (Japanese rice)
Lineage: Eukaryota; Viridiplantae; Streptophyta; Magnoliopsida; Poales; Poaceae
Description: sRNA Os06g0274600
Source: RNAcentral